Molecule: long non-coding RNA, 1894 nt
Filed under: Ursus thibetanus thibetanus
Lineage: Eukaryota; Metazoa; Chordata; Mammalia; Carnivora; Ursidae
Description: lncRNA (ENSUTTG00000003014.1)
Source: RNAcentral
AAAUGGAUUUUCUACAAUGGAUUUAAGAAACUUUACUUUAUCUUCUCAUUCCUGUGAAAAUAUUUAGGGGACGAUUUGUCUGUUUGAGUUUAUAGCACUCAUUAAAUUAUCAAAAGAUGUUAUAAUUUUUUUUCUUUUUUCUUAUUUUUAGUUUAUUGAUAUUAAUACUUUCAUUGGUCUGAUAAAACAUUUAUAUUAUGGAUCUAUUUUUUUUCUCAGAAUAUAUAUCAUUACUGAUAUGUUUCCAGUUACUUUUUAAAGGACAUGAUAGCAGAUGAUCAGAUGUUCUGAGACACUGUAAUUGCCCGUUCUGAUUUCACUUGAAAGUUUUUCUGAAGUCUAGUUCUUAGAAAUCUCUUUUAAAAGGUAAAAGAUCAAAUUGAUUUUCUAUAUAUUUUAAGAUGCCAUCAUUCAAUUGCUGUCCAUCUACAACUGUUCGGUGUAUACUUCUGUGUGGUAUUCAUGGUGCUGACUCACCAGUUCUUUCUAGAGAACAGAUAACAAAAGGUUUAUUCACCUGAAGGUUACAUUUCUGGUACGUUUUUCCUGUUCUUGGACACAUAUCUUAGGCAAAAACAUUUUUUUCAUUGAAUAGGAAACCUUCUUGGUCUCACUUCUAUUCAUGACACAUGGGCUGGAAAAGUAUAGUUAAGAGCCAGAGAGUUUCAGAGAUGUUUACUUUGGUCCAUGUGGCGUUGUCACUCAGAGAGAAAGAGAUCAAGGGAGAGCACAAGCAGGGGGAAUGGCAGGCAGAGGGAGAAGCAGGUUCCCUGCCGAGCAAGGAGCCUGAUGCGGGACUUGAUCCCAGGACUCUGCGAUCAUGACCUGAGCCGAAGGCAGACGCUUAACCGACUGAGCCACCCAGGUGCCCUAUAUUAAUAUUUUUAUAUUUAUGAAGGAAAUAAGAGGUUCUAGCACUAAGAUGAAAAGGCCAAAAUGGAAAACUAUUGACUAGUUUCUGCACUUAAUGAAUCCUUUUUAAACUGGGAGUACACUUAUCAUGAUGAGAACUGAAUAAUGUACAGAAUUGCUGAAUCACUAUGUUGUACACCUAAAACUAAUAUAACACUGUAUAUUAAUUAUACUAAAAUUUAAAAAAUUGAUAAUAGUCUUCUCUGAUAUAAUCUCUUCUUUUUUUGGAUAAGCUUAUAAUUGAAAGCCAAAUGUAUAUGAAUUACAAACAAUUUGAACAAGUUAUACCCCAAGUGAUAUAAUUAAUUAUACAUUUACUUAUAAAAACAAUAACGUGAAAUUUCUAACCCUAUUGUUAUGAAACUGUUAAACUGUUUUCAAUGUGGAGGGAGAAGGAGAAAGAAAAUCUUAAGCAGGCUCCACACCCAGCACAGAGCCCAUGUGGGGCUCAAUAUCACGACCCUGACAUCAUGACCUGAGCCAAAAUCAAGAGUUGGGCACUUAACUGAAUGAACCACUCCAGUGCCCUGAAAAAGUUGGUCUUAAGUAUACUGUCAUAUUGUAACAUAAUAAAGAAUAUAUUAAAGGAUUUCUAUGCCAUUAAUAUUUGAGUUGUUUAAUCAUAUUUGAAGCAAUCAUUACCCUCUUUUGAUUUAUGAGACUCAAAUUCCAUAAUAAAUUUUUAUUUACAAUUUAAUUUUAUUUAUAAUUUUUAUGCCAGGUUUGUUUCACAGUGAAAUGGUGCCAUUCUUUAUUUAGCAUUUAUUGUACCCAGGCACUGUGCUAGGCACUUACAUUAUCUUCUUUGAGUUAUAUUGAUAGUAAUUGGAUAAUAAUUAUUAUACAUAGUAAUUGGAAGAUCUGGGUUUUAGUCUUUGUUAUCUGACUGCUCUUUCUAUUAUAACAUGCUGCCUUCCAUUCAGUGCCUACUGUAUAUCAGGCGGAGUCAAAGUAGAGUUUCAGUAAGUGCUCACCAAAGCUU